This 696-nucleotide ribosomal RNA is filed under the name uncultured bacterium. RNAcentral describes it as "bacterial SSU rRNA". It matches the Rfam family "Bacterial small subunit ribosomal RNA", at positions 32 to 715 of the family's 1533-position model. The record is from RNAcentral.
AACGCUAGCUACAGGCUUAACACAUGCAAGUCGAGGGGCAGCAUGGUCUUAGCUUGCUAAGGCUGAUGGCGACCGGCGCACGGGUGAGUAACACGUAUCCAACCUGCCGUCUACUCUUGGCCAGCCUUCUGAAAGGAAGAUUAAUCCAGGAUGGCAUCAUGAGUUCACAUGUCCGCAUGAUUAAAGGUAUUUUCCGGUAGACGAUGGGGAUGCGUUCCAUUAGAUAGUAGGCGGGGUAACGGCCCACCUAGUCUUCGAUGGAUAGGGGUUCUGAGAGGAAGGUCCCCCACAUUGGAACUGAGACACGGUCCAGACUCCUACGGGAGGCAGCAGUGAGGAAUAUUGGUCAAUGGGCGAGAGCCUGAACCAGCCAAGUCGCGUGAAGGAAGAAGGAUCUAUGGUUCGUAAACUUCUUUUGCAGGGGAAUAAAGUGCAGGACGUGUCCUGUUUUGUAUGUACCCUGAGAAUAAGGAUCGGCUAACUCCGUGCCAGCAGCCGCGGUAAUACGGAGGAUCCGAGCGUUAUCCGGAUUUAUUGGGUUUAAAGGGAGCGUAGGCCGGAGAUUAAGCGUGUUGUGAAAUGUAGAUGCUCAACAUCUGCACUGCAGCGCGAACUGGUUUCCUUGAGUACGCAUAAAGUGGGCGGAAUUCGUGGUGUAGCGGUGAAAUGCUUAGAUAUCACGAAGAACUCCGAUUG